GCCUCUCCAUCAACGUACCCAUCACCAGAUCUGGGCCAUAACAUUCUACCAGCCUUCCUGUUACAAGGUUCACAAACUUAAUGCUUGUGAGGAGAUCCUCAGCUCCUGGGGUCCCGAAGGCUGGGAGCCAUGGAAGACCAGAGUGACCAGUUCCAGCAGAUUAAGAAGAAGAAGGAGGAAGAGGAGGAGGAGGA
Long non-coding RNA from Mesocricetus auratus (golden hamster), 194 nucleotides. RefSeq lists it as uncharacterized. NCBI's taxonomy places the organism in Eukaryota, Metazoa, Chordata, Mammalia, Rodentia, Cricetidae. The record is from RefSeq and is a predicted model, not a curated record. The transcript is spliced from 3 exons.